GAAAUUGUUUCAAAACCUGGGCUACUCUUGGUACCUUUUCCUCCCUGCAAAGCUCUCCCUGAAGCCAAUGAGGAAGACUCAAAACAAGGUUAGGAUGGCGUGUUGCAAAUACAUGAAGAAGAUGCCCCUUGCCUUGCAAACAGUGUUACCUGCACCCUGACUCCAACAGAAGCUUCGCAGAAAAGCAGAGCCAUGUGCUGUAACUCCAGGAUGUGCCGCCAGGCCUACUAACAAGAGGCUUACUGAACUAAGCCUCUGAUGCCAUACUCCUAUUCUUGCCAGCCACAAAUGCAAGUGAGAAGUACAUUUCUCUGAAUUGAAAACUAGAAGCGAUUCCUGCGGCAUUUUUCAAAAGCACCAAUGGAAGCCAUUUCCACUGCUAGGGUUCAUCGUGUCUCAGAAAAACUGUACAUUUCUGUCCUAAGCACGAAGUUUAGAAUAAAAAUGGCCUAG
Molecule: long non-coding RNA, 453 nt
Organism: Cygnus olor (mute swan)
Lineage: Eukaryota; Metazoa; Chordata; Aves; Anseriformes; Anatidae
Exons: 3
Source: RefSeq, a predicted model, not a curated record